This 468-nucleotide ribosomal RNA is filed under the name uncultured bacterium. RNAcentral describes it as "partial 16S ribosomal RNA". It matches the Rfam family "Bacterial small subunit ribosomal RNA", at positions 28 to 507 of the family's 1533-position model. The record is from RNAcentral.
GACGAACGCUGGCGGCGUGCUUAACACAUGCAAGUCGAACGGAAAGGCCCUGCUUUUUUGGGGUUCUCGAGUGGCGAACGGGUGAGUAACACGUGAGUAACCUGCCCUUGACUUUGGGAUAACUUCAGGAAACUGGGGCUAAUACCGUAUAGGAGCUCCUGCUGCAUGGUGGGGGUUGGAAAGUUUCGGCGGUUGGGGAUGGACGCGCGGCUUAUCAGCUUGUUGGUGGGGUAGUGGCUUACCAAGGCUUUGACGGGUAGCCGGCCUGAGAGGGUGACCGGCCACAUUGGGACUGAGAUACGGCCCAGACUCCUACGGGAGGCAGCAGUGGGGAAUAUUGUCCAAUGGGCGGACGCCUGAUGCAGAAACGCCGCGUGCGGGAUGACGGCCUUCGGGUUGUAAACCGCUUUCGCCUGUGACGAAGCGUGAGUGACGGUAAUGGGUAAAGAAGCACCGGCUAACUACGUG